CACGUAGUUAGCCGGGGCUUUCUUCUCAGGUACCGUCACCUUGUGAGCAGUUAACUCUCACAAGCGUUCUUCCCUGGCAACAGAGCUUUACGAUCCGAAAACCUUCAUCACUCACGCGGCGUUGCUCCGUCAGACUUUCGUCCAUUGCGGAAGAUUCCCUACUGCUGCCUCCCGUAGGAGUCUGGGCCGUGUCUCAGUCCCAGUGUGGCCGAUCACCCUCUCAGGUCGGCUACGCAUCGUCGCCUUGGUGAGCCGUUACCUCACCAACUAGCUAAUGCGCCGCAGGUCCAUCCAUAAGUGACAGAUUGCUCCGUCUUCCGAUUCUCUCAUGCGAGAAAUCGCGUAUCCGGUAUAGCAUUCGUUUCCGAAUGUUAUCCCAGUCUUAUGGGCAGGUUACCUACGUGUUACUCACCCGUCCGCCGCUAAGUCUCGAAGGAAGCGAAGCCUUCCUAUCAACCUCCGUCUCGACUU
RNAcentral lists this ribosomal RNA (471 nucleotides) under uncultured Paenibacillus sp. RNAcentral's name for it is "partial 16S ribosomal RNA". The record is from RNAcentral. Lineage: Bacteria; Bacillati; Bacillota; Bacilli; Caryophanales; Paenibacillaceae.